This 485-nucleotide ribosomal RNA is filed under the name uncultured bacterium. RNAcentral's name for it is "partial 16S ribosomal RNA". It matches the Rfam family "Bacterial small subunit ribosomal RNA", at positions 29 to 523 of the family's 1533-position model. The record is from RNAcentral.
AGUGAACGCUGGCGGCGUGCUUAACACAUGCAAGUCGAACGAGAACGGAUUAUAGCUUGCUAUAAUUGCCAGCUAAGUGGCGCACGGGUGAGUAAUAUAUAGAUAACCUGCCCUCUAGAAAGGAAUAACAGUUGGAAACGACUGCUAAUGCCCUAUAUGCCUUUAAUACAUAAGUAUGCAAGGGAAACGCUUUAGUGCUAGAGGAUGGGUCUGUAUGGUAUCAGCUUGUUGGUGAGGUAAUGGCUCACCAAGGCUAUGACGCCUAACUGGUUUGAGAGGAUGAUCAGUCACACUGGAACUGAGACACGGUCCAGACUCCUACGGGAGGCAGCAGUGGGGAAUAUUGCACAAUGGACGAAAGUCUGAUGCAGCAACGCCGCGUGGAGGAUGACACAUUUCGGUGCGUAAACUCCUUUUAUAUAGGAAGAUAAUGACGAUACUGUAUGAAUAAGCACCGGCUAACUCCGUGCCAGCCGCCGCCGUAA